RNAcentral lists this long non-coding RNA (1265 nucleotides) under Sinocyclocheilus grahami. RNAcentral's name for it is "lncRNA (ENSSGRG00000045708.1)". Lineage: Eukaryota; Metazoa; Chordata; Actinopteri; Cypriniformes; Cyprinidae. The record is from RNAcentral.
UGGUUCUUCCCUUCCCGUCACCUUAUUUCGAUUCCAUACGCGCCAAACAUUGUAGGCUGUGACAUACUUAACGCAAACACUUCGAGCCAGCACUGUUUAUGGCCUUUGAAAACGGCCAGCAAGGGUUUGUUUUGUUAUUUAUUAUUGAAUUUAGCCGUCUAAAAGGAAAGAAGGGACAAUCCCUCUCUCUGUCACCAAGGCAGCAGGUAGUAAACUGAAAGCACAGCAAGUGUGUUGUUGAAACGAGCAGUGUGGUGGGUGAGUCGCGCUCCGUUUAAUCAUGAUGUAUUAGUUUGUUAUGCGAUAUGUAUAUGAUCAAAGCUUUCUAGCUAGUCUUGAAAACAAUAACGGCGUUGGUUAGAAUCUUAUUUAUGACUGUCCACUUUGAUUUAAAGCGGUCGGAGGAGCAGCCCCAGGGGCGACAGUGUGUGUGUUGCUGAUGGUGACUGCAGUAUCAGCAGUGUGAUGAAGACUGACUCCUUCUGCAUGCACCAGUCAUUCCCCUCCGCAUGGACGCAUCAGGUGAUUCUCAUGUCGGUUCUUCAGUGGCGAUGAGGAAUCUUCAGAUCUCUGAUCUGCAUUGCUUCCACCCCGUGUCUCCGUCAUCAACUCGGUCUCCAGUGUUGGAGAGCUCUCUGCUCAGACAGCUCAUGUGUACUGCUCCAGAGAAGAGAGGCACAGCUCUCACCAUCAACCCUAAUAAAGCUGUCCUGUCCAUUAACUGCACCACAUUACAGGGAUCGGACGAUUGUUCUCACCAAAGCCCUUUUACCAAUUAAACAAGGCCAUAUUACACCAUGUUUUUGGUAGUAGGGAUUCUUUGCCUGGACUUUUAUCUGCUCCCCUAUUCUUUGAACUAUUGAGUUAUUACAAAAGAUUUCAAUUGUUUAUUGAUGUUAUCUCUUUUUGCAAGGUUGUGGAUGCAAAUGAACAUGCUUGUAAGCUGUUUGAGUGUGCAUACAGUGAUUUGAUUGGCCGGAAGCUCACCUCUCUCCUAAAAGCCAGUCAGAUGCUAGAGGAAGGGCUGAAGGAGGAGACACUGGAUUCUGAUGGGAACCUGGUUGCUAUUUCUGCCAAAGUGGUGAGCACAGUGAGUUUGACAGGAGCUGAGUUUCCUGUGUCUGUGUGGCUUCAGACACCGGAGCAGCGGCAGCAGAUCUUAGAGCUCCUGCUAGAGCGAGUGGAGAGAAUCACAGCACACGUGACGUUCACUCAAAAUGUGAGACUCAUUCCCUUGCAACUAAUUGUGCACUUAAAAACAAACA